AGCUCCACCGGAUCCACCCCGCGGGUGACGACGAGGUAGUCGCGCAGGGCCACGCCGUGCCGCCCCUC
This 68-nucleotide small RNA is filed under the name Blastococcus haudaquaticus. RNAcentral describes it as "ASdes TB sRNA". It matches the Rfam family "ASdes TB sRNA". The record is from Rfam by way of RNAcentral. Lineage: Bacteria; Bacillati; Actinomycetota; Actinomycetes; Geodermatophilales; Geodermatophilaceae.